This 253-nucleotide ribosomal RNA is filed under the name uncultured bacterium. RNAcentral describes it as "partial 16S ribosomal RNA". It matches the Rfam family "Bacterial small subunit ribosomal RNA", at positions 524 to 776 of the family's 1533-position model. The record is from RNAcentral.
UACGGGGGGGGCAAGCGUUGUUCGGAAUUACUGGGCGUAAAGCGCGCGUAGGUGGUUCGUUAAGUUGGAUGUGAAAUCCCCGGGCUCAACCUGGGAACUGCAUUCAAAACUGUCGAGCUAGAGUAUGGUAGAGGGUGGUGGAAUUUCCUGUGUAGCGGUGAAAUGCGUAGAUAUAGGAAGGAACACCAGUGGCGAAGGCGACCACCUGGACUGAUACUGACACUGAGGUGCGAAAGCGUGGGGAGCAAACAGG